UAUUUAAAUUCACUACUUUUUUUUAUCCAGAAACAAAUUGAUGUAAAAAUUGUUUCAGGUUUGGCUUAGUUAUAGCCUUACCCUGUCGAGGAUCCCUGGAAUUCUUCAGGGGUAAAGCCGGUUUUGAGCUUGGAAUUCUUCAGGGGUAAAGUGUUUUGAGCUUGAAAUUCUUCAGGGGUAAAGGGUUUUGAGCUUGGAAUUCUUCAGGGAUAAAGGGUUUUGAGCAUGGAAUUUUGAAAUUCUUUGAACAGGAGUAAAAGGUUUUGAGCUUGGAAUUCUUCAGGGGUAAAGGGUUUUGAGCUUGGAAUUUUGGAAUUCUUCAGGGGUAAAAGGUUUUGAGUUUGAAGUUCUUCAGGGGCCGGUUGUUCAAACUUGGAUUGGUGCUAACCCUGGGUUAAAAUUUAACCUGUGUUUUAGUUUAUGUAUUUCUGCACGUCUGUUUAUUUCAAAACUUCAGAGAAGUAAAAUUCUAUCGAUCCAGACAAGAUCUCUGAAGAAA
Non-coding RNA from Paramuricea clavata, 499 nucleotides. The record is from the annotation of a GenBank genome assembly. Lineage: Eukaryota; Metazoa; Cnidaria; Anthozoa; Malacalcyonacea; Plexauridae.